AUUUCUACUGAAUGAAAUGGUAUGCUAAAAAGCUCUUACACAUUUGAAUAUCCAAUUUGUGAACAUUGUCAAUCUGUGGCAUUUCUGGUUCUUAAACUAUUUCUCUUAUAACUUUUAUAAUCCAGCUUAGUGUUAAGUUCUAGACUACUCUCUAUUUUCCAUUUCUCUGAAGUUUCUUACAUCCAAAACAGCCCCUUAAACAAAUUUCCUGGCCAAUUCAGUUUUCUUUCUCAUUAAA
RNAcentral lists this unclassified non-coding RNA (238 nucleotides) under Hevea brasiliensis (rubber tree). Lineage: Eukaryota; Viridiplantae; Streptophyta; Magnoliopsida; Malpighiales; Euphorbiaceae. The record is from RNAcentral.